CAGUCGCCACGGUAAUACGAAGGGUGCAAGCGUUAAUCGGAAUUACUGGGCGUAAAGCGUGCGUAGGCGGUGAGUUAAGUCUGCUGUGAAAUCCCCGGGCUCAACCUGGGAAUGGCAGUGGAUACUGGCUCGCUAGAGUGUGUCAGAGGAUGGUGGAAUUCCCGGUGUAGCGGUGAAAUGCGUAGAGAUCGGGAGGAACAUUAGUGGCGAAGGCGGCCAUCUGGGACAACACUGACGCUGAGGCACGAAAGCGUGGGGAGCAAACAGGAUUAGAUACCCCCGUAGUCCCUGUCUCUUAUAC
This 301-nucleotide ribosomal RNA is filed under the name uncultured bacterium. Its description in RNAcentral is "partial 16S ribosomal RNA". It matches the Rfam family "Bacterial small subunit ribosomal RNA", at positions 509 to 807 of the family's 1533-position model. The record is from RNAcentral.